RNAcentral lists this ribosomal RNA (386 nucleotides) under uncultured fungus. Its description in RNAcentral is "bacterial SSU rRNA". It matches the Rfam family "Eukaryotic small subunit ribosomal RNA", at positions 20 to 375 of the family's 1831-position model. The record is from RNAcentral. Lineage: Eukaryota; Fungi.
GUAGUCAUAUGCUUGUCUCAAAGAUUAAGCCAUGCAUGUCUAAGUAUAAGCAAUUAUACAGCGAAACUGCGAAUGGCUCAUUAUAUAAGUUAUCGUUUAUUUGAUAGUACCUUACUACUUGGAUAACCGUGGUAAUUCUAGAGCUAAUACAUGCUAAAAAUCCCGACUUCGGAAGGGAUGUAUUUAUUAGAUUAAAAACCAAUGCCCUUCGGGGCUCACUGGUGAUUCAUGAUAACUCCUCGAAUCGCAUGGCCUUGCGCCGGCGAUGGUUCAUUCAAAUUUCUUCCCUAUCAACUUUCGAUGUUUGGGUAUUGGCCAAACAUGGUUGCAACGGGUAACGGGGAAUGGGGCGGGGGCGGCGGGCCGGGCGCGGGGCGCGGCGGGCG